GUAAGUCACUCAUACAAAAUGUUCACAUAUGAAAUUAUUAUGUGGAUUGAAAAUUGCUAAAAAAUUAAGCUUAGAACUCUAUCUGGACUAACCAAGCACUAGACACAACCUCAUUUGAAAAGCACAUUGGAUUGCUGCAAAAUAGGAUUUGUCAUUUCGAGGAAAUAAUUUUUCUUUGGAAAAGCUAUUUUAUUUAUAACACUUUUCUGAGAUAUGAUUUGUUUUGUGCUAUUUGGGUGUAACACUGAAAAUCUACUAAAAAUUAUCUAGCAUUUGAAGUAGAUUGGAGAGGAAAUUAUUUUCUUUCAAUAAAGAAAACCUUGAUAUUUCUCUGACUGACCUAAAACUUGAUAUUUUUUCCAUUUCCAUUAUUAGUCGAAUAGGAGAGAAAAUACACCAAAAAGGGGUUAAUCAUGGUGUUCUCAGGCCAAUGGUGGCGACUAGCUGUGAUCAUUUCUUAGUUUGGCUUUAACCAAUAAAAUAUGCAUGUCAAAUACUGGAAAGUGAAGGAAAAUAUUUUCCACUAACUAAACAGAGCUGUAGUUGCUUAAAUUGUUACCUUGAAAUGAACCGCCCAUUAUUAAAUUUUUUAUGAUGCAUGGUUGUUGCUUUUAGUUAAUUUAUCAACCUCCUGAUGAGUUGUGCUACUUAGAGAUUGUUGAUUUG
Molecule: unclassified non-coding RNA, 666 nt
Filed under: Hevea brasiliensis (rubber tree)
Lineage: Eukaryota; Viridiplantae; Streptophyta; Magnoliopsida; Malpighiales; Euphorbiaceae
Source: RNAcentral